AUGCUGCCCGUCGUGGGCCGGGCCGUCCUGGUGCCCGACUUUCUGGGCAGCGGCCGGCGGCUGCUCUUGGGCAUCCGUUCUACCAGGGAUCACCAAUUCUGCGCCGUCGACAUGGACGCCAGGCCGCCGACGGUCCUCAGGUCCUGGCCUGAGGCAUUGCCCACCGUCGGGUGGGCCGCCGAAUAUAAAAGGUGCUCCUUCCGCCCCCAGGUGACCUACUUUGGGGGCGGCAGGUUUUGCGUUUCGGUGACUAAUCAGACCAACGAGGAGAAUCCACGCAGCGUCGUCUCCUUCAAGGCCGUGGAGCUCACCGCCGAGCUGCAGCUGAUCGAACGUCGGUCCAGCUGCUACUUGAUGCCACAAAGCUCACGCGGGUCGCCGGUUACAGUAGUUUAG
This 396-nucleotide ribosomal RNA is filed under the name Triticum aestivum (bread wheat). Its description in RNAcentral is "partial small subunit ribosomal RNA". Lineage: Eukaryota; Viridiplantae; Streptophyta; Magnoliopsida; Poales; Poaceae. The record is from RNAcentral.